GCGAAAUUCCCAAAGGAGGGCGAUAUUCCUAGGAGAUUCGCCCCCCCGGGGCGAAUCUCCUAGGAAUAUCGCCCCCCUUUUGAGAGGGG
Molecule: microRNA precursor, 89 nt
Filed under: Paramuricea clavata
Lineage: Eukaryota; Metazoa; Cnidaria; Anthozoa; Malacalcyonacea; Plexauridae
Source: RNAcentral